UACGGAGGGUGCGAGCGUUGUCCGGAAUCACUGGGCGUAAAGGGCGCGUAGGCGGCUCGUUAAGGGUGCGGUGAAAGCCCGGGGCUUAACCCCGGGUCGGCCGUGCCGACUGAUGAGCUCGAGCACUGUAGAGGCAGGUGGAAUUCCGGGUGUAGCGGUGGAAUGUGUAGAGAUCCGGAAGAACACCAGUGGCGAAGGCGGCCUGCUGGGCAGUGGCUGACGCUGAGGCGCGACAGCGUGGGGAGCAAACAGG
RNAcentral lists this ribosomal RNA (253 nucleotides) under uncultured bacterium. RNAcentral's name for it is "partial 16S ribosomal RNA". It matches the Rfam family "Bacterial small subunit ribosomal RNA", at positions 524 to 776 of the family's 1533-position model. The record is from RNAcentral.